This is a non-coding RNA of Equus caballus (horse), 2456 nucleotides long. The record is from RefSeq and is a predicted model, not a curated record. Lineage: Eukaryota; Metazoa; Chordata; Mammalia; Perissodactyla; Equidae.
GGUGCCAAUCUUAAAAAAAACAAAGAAAGAAUCUAGGAAAAAUAAAUUUUAAAAAAUGUAGAAGGAGGGAAAUAAUAAAAGUAAGAGAGAAAAUUAAUACAUCUGAAAAUAGAUGUAUAAUAAAGACGAUCAACAGAGCCAGUGUAGCCUUUUUCUGAUAAACCAUCCUCAAGACUGAUAAGAAAGAAAAAAGGAAAAAAUUCAAAUUACAAAUUAUUAACAUCUAGAAUAAAAAAAAUGCCAUUCCUAUGGAUCCUGCAGGCAUUAAAAAGAUACUAAGAGGGUAUUAUAAACAAUUUUGUGCCAGUAGAUUUGACAUUUUAGAUGAAAUUCCUUGAAAAACAUAAGAUUUUACUUUCUAUUGCUGUGUAACAAAUACUCCCCAAAAUUUGUGACGUAAAACUACAACCAUUUAAUGAUUUUUUCACAGUUCUGGGAGUGGAUUGAGUUUAGUGGGCAUUUCUCGCUGAGGGUCUCUCAUGUGGUUGCAGUCAGAUGGUAGCUGAGGCUGGGGUACUCUGGAGGCUCAGCUGGGACACUGAGACCCCCUCUCCCUCUGCGUGCAAUUCCGGUGCCUCUAACACGGCCUAUAUGGACCCACCAGGAAUGAAGACAGACUUCUUACCUGAUGACUCAGGACUCCAAAGAGGAAAGGAAAAGCUGCAAGACUUCUGUAGACCUAGCCUCAGAGGUUGUGUGGCGUCAUUUCCAUCACAUUCUAAUAGUCAAAUGAGAUCAUCUAAUGUACUGCUUUGGCUGUAAACACGACGCUUGGGAGAACACAGGCCACCAGGAAGACUACAAUGAUGACUAUCAGGAGGAUAAUACCAACAGACAGAAAUAUGCUUCUUAGCCAGGUUCCCCCUGAACCAAACCAGUUGGCAGUUGGCACUAAAUAAAUCAAAGAACGUACCUGAAGAGGCAUCAAUCUCUUUGAGUCAAGUGGCUUGUUUGUUAAUUUCUUGUAUGAAGAGUAACUGCAGUACCAGAAGUAUUGAUCCAGGCACAGUAGGAGCUAUUUCCUAUGGCACAGACUCCUCCUUGCUCAGCACAGAGGUAAUCUAACGCAAUUCUAUUAUCUAACACCAUCUCAUCAGCUCAAAAGAAUCCUUUUGCCAAAGAGGCAUCUUUUGGGGUAGCACAUCCUGCUACCCUUCAAGGUCAUGCUGCCUUGGUUUGUGCUUGUUUUGUUUUGCUUCUCUCAGAUUUUUUUCAUCAGGCUACAGAAAUUUUGAAGAAAAAUAAUGGAAUUUAUAAUUUUUGCAAUAUUAUUAUCACUAAGUGUGGAACCUAAUUACUUUGCUUGCAUUUUUCUUUUAAUUCUCAUAAUAACUCAAUGUGCUAAAAAUUAGCAUCAGUAUUUUCAUAAGAAUCAGGAAAAACUGAGUUAAGAUACCAGUGAAUACAUAUCUAGUAAAUUAUAGAGCCAAGAUGAAGCCCAAGUCUAAUUCAUUUCAACAGCAUUAUUUGCUAGCCUACCACACUGUCAUGGAUAAUUAAGCUUUAUGGCUUGGGAUAGGUUCUGGUAAUCAUUUUAGAAAUAAAUAUCAAGUCAUAGUCUCACAGAUAAAUGAGCAAUAGCUCACCGUGCUUCAAACAUUCUUUCUUCCCAUUUUAAUGCCAUAUCCCACCCACCACCAAUGCUUUACUCAGUAUUUCCCCUCAAGGAUGCAUCUCCAAAUACAAGAAGGUUCCAAGAAUAAGCCAGACUCUUCUCCUGGUAAUGAAACAGGCAUCCAAGACUAUGUUAAUGAAAUAGGUAAUGCCAAUCCUUAGUGUCCAAUCCCAUUCCUCAUUAAGUCUGGAAUGGGUGAUGUUGAUAUAUAAAUCCUGUAAUGUAUAUGGAUCCUGCUCUAUUAUUCUUCUCCCCGUCUUCUCCCUACCAUCUUUCUCACCCAUUAUCAGAUGCUGAACCCUAAUGUUUGAGAUUCACUCUACUGAAGAUCAGGAGAUCUUGUUGACUUGGAGGCUUAAGAACCAAAACCAGAUUCUGAAUCCGUUGCUAAGUUGAAAUCUCCCAACUAAUAAACCCCACUAUAGGAUAUUCCUGAUGAGGACUGGACCACAGCAACCGGAUUGCUUGCAGAUCCUCUGAAUGAAACCAAGCCCUAAGUAACAUGGAUAUUUCUGAUUAAUCACAGAGCUUAUAAGAUACAUUCAACAUUGAGAUAUUUCAGGAUGGAGGGAUCACAUAUAUUCCCCAGCCCCCAUGAAGAACUGGCUCAGACAUGAAAAACUCCUCCUAAGACCCAUCUAGUAGUUUAUUGUAUUCAAAACAAUCACAAUCACAGUUUGAAGAAACUCCAAGCAAUAAGCAUACAGAAGAUUUCCUCAUAGAAUAUUCAAAAGGUUCCAUAGCAGAGGAAGGAUCCUGUGGGGUCUAUUCCAGAGGUAUUACAUGGUGAUAAUAAAAAGAUAGUGGGAAAUGGAGGGAAAACAGAUACAAGAAGGGGCAA